This 740-nucleotide long non-coding RNA is filed under the name Anser brachyrhynchus (Pink-footed goose). RNAcentral's name for it is "lncRNA (ENSABRG00000002798.1)". Lineage: Eukaryota; Metazoa; Chordata; Aves; Anseriformes; Anatidae. The record is from RNAcentral.
GAAAUUCUGAGUGAUGGAUAAAACUGUCUGGGGAGACUAUAGAAGAGGAGCCAUAAAAACAUUUAGAGGUUAUGUGAACUCUGAUUCAUGUGGAGCACACAUGCACACAAAUAUUCAGUCUCUGAUCUUACGUAUUUCACCUUGUUAUUUUUAAUAGUAUGUACAUUUCACAGUUUAUUCUCAAUAAACUCCUCUUGGCCGUCUUAUAACGGGUAAAACACUACAGCUACUGGAACUCAUAAGCAGUCACAGAGGGAGUAGGAAAAUCUGUAUGCUGGGAGGAAUCCUGACUACCCCUCCCAGCCUGCCUUGGGGUGAUGCACUGACUGUACUUCACCUCCCUUUAUCCUCUGCUCUGUGGAACCCCUGGAGUCAAAUGCUGACACCUACAUUUGACAGACAGAUUCCAUCGUCCCUAAAUGGAUCCAUCUCAGUGUAUCUGCUGGACUUGCACAUAAGCACCAUAUUACUAGUACUCAGAAUGACUUUAACAGUCUCCCAGUCUUUGCACUCACUCUGGCCUUAUCCAAGAAGGCUUACUCAUUACGUUUUCCUGCUGCUCUUUUAACUACUUGAUAGCUAUAAAGCAUGCCAGAAAAUGUUCCUUUUGCUGUAGCAUGAUAUUCAUGACAGCACUAUCACCAAAACAAUGGAUCGUCAGAAAAUUUAUUGUGUAUGGAAGAAAUGUGUAUGGCAGAAAUGUGUAUGGCAAAAAAAUAAAUAAAAUUGUUUCUUUAAAU